Molecule: long non-coding RNA, 967 nt
Organism: Lates calcarifer (barramundi perch)
Lineage: Eukaryota; Metazoa; Chordata; Actinopteri; Centropomidae
Exons: 2
Source: RefSeq, a predicted model, not a curated record
AAGCGGAAGCGACAUGAAUGUUGUUUACUAAUGAGCAAUAUUACAUUUCCACAUUUGAGAUGGUUUCUCAGUCUGAUGUCAUAUCCUGCAGGGCACUGGAAAGACUUGGCAGACUUCCCAGCAGCGCAGCCUCCUGGGGCUGAUUCAGCCAAUGUUCCCACCCAGGAAUCCUGGACGUCUGACAGGAAACAGGCCCAACUCUCUCAAGGCCACUAUAAGUCAGCCUCUCCCCUCACCCCAAGUCUCCCCUUCACCCGAAAACCUCUCCCAGGACCAUUCUUUAUGCUUCUCUCAGACAAACUAUCUUACAAGUAGACAUUCUUCGUCACCAAAUCAUGUUUUCACCCUCCCUACCCUCUGCCCAGCUUCCCAUCGUAGCUCGGUCUUGCUUUAGCCUUUAAGCAAUUGAACAGUUUUAUUAGGUAAGAGAGCAAUGAUUAAUGGCUGAGUAGCAUUUGCAUGUACAGUUAUGUGCUGUCAUGAUGAUGCUAAUGUUUUUCUGACCUUGUUGGAGCAUGUUUGGGCUAAAUGUUGUAGCUUGAAUACUUCUUACAAUAGGGAGACAUCUCAGGACCUGCAGACAAGCUACAGCUGCUGUUUAAUUCUUCACAGCUCAGAAUUAAACUCGAGAACAUCAAAUGGAUUCUUUCAGUAUUUCAUUUAUUUUAUAAAAAGGGAAUGCAAUUACAAAAUGUUUAUGUACCUACAUUAGUGUUUCAGAUUGUACCGGUUUAACACAGGCAGCGUGCUACUGGACACACAAGGCUAUUGCACACGAGACAUUUCAUACAACAUAAAUCAUACAUACUGUACAAAGAUACAUACAUACAUACUUACAAACAUACAUAGUUUUUCAUAUAUUUAUCAUUAAAAAAAUCAUAGAAUCGGGCAACACAAUGAAGUGAUACAUAGAUUAAAACAUCUCUCCAUCUGAAAAAAAAAAAAAAAAAAACGGAGGGAAAGCAAA